This 459-nucleotide ribosomal RNA is filed under the name uncultured bacterium. RNAcentral's name for it is "partial 16S ribosomal RNA". It matches the Rfam family "Bacterial small subunit ribosomal RNA", at positions 338 to 795 of the family's 1533-position model. The record is from RNAcentral.
CCUACGGGUGGCAGCAGUGAGGAAUAUUGGUCAAUGGCCGGAAGGCUGAACCAGCCAAGCCGCGUGAAGGACGAAGGUGCCAAGCAUUGUAAACUUCUUUUGUCAGGGGACAAAAUCAGGCACGAGAGCCUGACUGAGGGUACUUGAAGAAAAAGCAUCGGCUAACUCCGUGCCAGCAGCCGCGGUAAUACGGAGGAUGCGAGCGUUAUCCGGUUUUAUUGGGUUUAAAGGGUGCGUAGGCGGACUGUUAAGUCAGCGGUAAAAGCCCGGGGCUCAACCCCGGCGAGCCGUUGAAACUGGCUGGCUGGAGAUGGAGAGAGGUAUGCGGAAUGCGCGGUGUAGCGGUGAAAUGCUUAGAUAUUGCGCAGAACUCCGAUUGCGAAGGCAGCAUACCGGCGGCGAUCUGACGCUGAGGCACGAAAGCGUGGGUAUCGAACAGGAUUAGAUACCCUAGUAGUC